CGCUUCUUGAUUGCCGUCAGUAAACUGGCUGUGGACCCUGCACAGGAAGCCAGGCAUCAUGGUCGCAAUAUCUUGAGAAACGUGGCCACCAAUGGCGACUUUGCUAAAAUGUGGGACAAAUUCGCUCCGAGGAAAGAGCGAGAAUCCUUGAGGGAGGUCAUCUCAAAGGUUAACCUCAAAGAAAGGAAUAUCUGAAUAAUCCCCAAUUUGACUAUAUAUUUGUAUCUAAAUAUUUGCACAUUUCCCAACCUGACUAUUUUCCCCUCCAGUCCCCAAACUCCAAUAUUUUCGCUCAUUUUAAGAAAUUUGACACUAUCAUCCAAACCCCCAUGUAAAUACAUCUUUAAACUGCAUUGAAUCCUUGUCCAAGUCCUGAAUCCACUAUAAGGCAAUAUGAACCACAUUCAAAGCACUAAAUUACCUUUCCUCAAAGCUCCUAUCUGAUCUACCAGCUCAAUAGUGGUCUACUGAAACCAUACUCACCAUCUCAGGGGGUGCUCAGAUCAUCAACCACUGACCUCCACACCAUCCUCAAAACCAGCAGUCCUCUUUUGGAGGCAGAUUGGUCAGUGCUCCUGUAUGGCACCAACAUUGUGGAUUUUCAUCCAAUACUUCUGGACUAUGAGAACA
Salvelinus namaycush (lake trout) is the source of this 630-nucleotide long non-coding RNA. RefSeq lists it as uncharacterized. NCBI's taxonomy places the organism in Eukaryota, Metazoa, Chordata, Actinopteri, Salmoniformes, Salmonidae. The transcript has 3 exons. The record is from RefSeq and is a predicted model, not a curated record.